CCUACGGGCGGCAGCAGUAGGGAAUCUUCCACAAUGGGCGAAAGCCUGAUGGAGCAACGCCGCGUGGGUGAAGAAGGUCUUCGGAUCGUAAAACCCUGUUGUUAGAGAAGAAAGUUCGUGCGAGUAACUGUUCACGUUUUGACGGUAUCUAUCCAGAAAGCCACGGCUAACUACGUGCCAGCAGCCGCGGUAAUACGUAGGUGGCAAGCGUUAUCCGGUUUUAUUGGGCGUAAAGGGAUCGUAGGCGGUCUUUUAAGUCUGGUGUGAAAGCCGUCGGCUUAACCGGAGUAGUGCAUUGGAAACUGGGAGACUUGAGUGCAGAAGAGGAGAGUGGAACUCCAUGUGUAGCGGUGAAAUGCGUAGAUAUAUGGAAGAACACCAGUGGCGAAGGCGGCUCACUGGGCUGUAACUGACGCUGAGGUACGAAAGCGUGGGUAGCAAACAGGAUUAGAUACCCGGGUAGUC
Molecule: ribosomal RNA, 465 nt
Filed under: uncultured bacterium
Lineage: Bacteria
Description: partial 16S ribosomal RNA
Rfam family: Bacterial small subunit ribosomal RNA
Source: RNAcentral